Molecule: long non-coding RNA, 342 nt
Filed under: Setaria viridis
Lineage: Eukaryota; Viridiplantae; Streptophyta; Magnoliopsida; Poales; Poaceae
Description: long non-coding RNA (SVIR_LNC006502)
Source: RNAcentral
GGGACUAAAGGUGUCUCCAUGGACGAGCUUGGGACUAAAGCCCGGGUCAAAAAAUAACCGAGAUUUUUGUUGAGGGUGGAAGGUUAUUUUUCUACUAGUGGGAAGUAGUCGAUCACGAUCGUCUCCUCCUCGCCCUCGCACUAGCAGCCGCGUCGCGCCCCGUAGCCGAUCAGCACAGCGGCAAUAGCAGUAGCGCCUCCAUGGAGUCCACACGUAAAGGGAAGGAACGUUGUGCGCUGGUCUGCUAGCACCGCGGGCUGGUCAGGGUCUCGGGUCAGGUCGAGAGGAGAUGGCAGCUAAGGUUGUGGCAUGGUGGGAUGUGGCGCCCCUAGCCCCUCCCCG